RNAcentral lists this unclassified non-coding RNA (611 nucleotides) under Hevea brasiliensis (rubber tree). The record is from RNAcentral. Lineage: Eukaryota; Viridiplantae; Streptophyta; Magnoliopsida; Malpighiales; Euphorbiaceae.
GCAGGUGCUUUGAACGAAGCAGGAACGCCUUGGUCACUGUAAACUUUCUCAGAAAGUGCAGCUAGGCUAGCAAGUUGACCACAUGAGGCAGCUUUCGCACCAGAUAAAUCAGAAGUGGCUUUUGGAAGCUCUAACACAACAGGAAUGGUGCCUCCCGCUGAAAAAGGUGCACCAGGCUUGCUUGAGUAAGGCACAUUGUUCGAAGUCAUGGAAAAGGGAAAUAAUACAGGGAGUUCCUUUGGUGAUGAAGUUCUGCUAUCUGAUUGCUUUUGGGGCAAAACUUUUGUGCUAUCUUUCGAUGAAGAUGGAGAUAUAUCAACAUGAGUAGAUGAGGCUUCCAACCUCAUAUAUUUGCCUUCAAACAUCCGAAUGUCACUUAUUCUAUCAUCAUCUUCACAAGUUACAAAUGUCACCUUCUCUUGUCGGGCUCUAACGCCAAGAUGUGAUAAGUGAGGUAAUUCCUGUAGAAGAACUACUCCCACAAUGUUACUUCCAGCAGCUUUAACCUCUUCAUCACCAUCAGCUUUGUUAACCACCAGAAUAACUGGUCCUUUCACAGACGAAGGCAAAGAACCAGGACUUAUGCUUUCGACCUGUAGAAGGGUCCCAUG